This 47-nucleotide non-coding RNA is filed under the name Schistosoma mansoni. Lineage: Eukaryota; Metazoa; Platyhelminthes; Trematoda; Strigeidida; Schistosomatidae. The record is from RNAcentral.
AUCCAUCUGAUGAGUCUCAAAAAGGACGAAAAACGCGAUUCGUGGAU